RNAcentral lists this long non-coding RNA (302 nucleotides) under Rhinopithecus bieti (black snub-nosed monkey). Its description in RNAcentral is "lncRNA (ENSRBIG00000045279.1)". Lineage: Eukaryota; Metazoa; Chordata; Mammalia; Primates; Cercopithecidae. The record is from RNAcentral.
AAAUGACCGAUCAGAAAAUCUGUGGGUUGAUGAUUAGAAGUGACUAGCAGCUGUUUGGCCCUGCAGGGGUUUGGGAAGGCAAGGAGGCCAGCUACAGGUGCAAAGCAGCUUCAUCACUGGAGGGACACCAUGCCGAAGGUGGGAAUGGUAAUAAUGAUGAAAUAGACCAGAGAAACAUCCAUUCACUUGGAAAAGCCAGAUUUGGUCCAGAAACGGGAAUGACAAGACGAAGACAGGAAGACAGGAACACUUUUCUCUGCUUUUCCCGUAAUCUCUGCAUGUGUUCGGAGGGCAGUCACUAA